UACGAAGGGGGCUAGCGUUGUUCGGAAUUACUGGGCGUAAAGCGAACGUAGGCGGUGUUCCAUGUCAGAGGUGAAAGCCUGGGGCUCAACUCCAGAAUUGCCUUUGAAACGGGGACGCUUGAGUCCGAGAGAGGAUGGCGGAAUUCCUAGUGUAGAGGUGAAAUUCGUAGAUAUUAGGAAGAACACCGGUGGCGAAGGCGGCCAUCUGGCUCGGUACUGACGCUCAGGUUCGAAAGCGUGGGGAGCAAGCAGG
RNAcentral lists this ribosomal RNA (253 nucleotides) under uncultured bacterium. RNAcentral describes it as "partial 16S ribosomal RNA". It matches the Rfam family "Bacterial small subunit ribosomal RNA", at positions 524 to 776 of the family's 1533-position model. The record is from RNAcentral.